Erpetoichthys calabaricus (reedfish) is the source of this 593-nucleotide long non-coding RNA. RefSeq lists it as uncharacterized. Lineage: Eukaryota; Metazoa; Chordata; Cladistia; Polypteriformes; Polypteridae. The transcript is spliced from 2 exons. The record is from RefSeq and is a predicted model, not a curated record.
GUUUAGUUUUUGAAUAUUUUUCUGUCAAUCUUUUGCGAAUUUAAGGGUUGAAGAAUAGUUUUGUUUUCCUUGUUUUUUUUCUUCACUUUGCUUUGGAGUCAGGCACUGAUUUUUCUUGUAUUUUGUUUAAUGUUCUUGCUGUGUACGUAUUUGCAAGACAUUACUGUAAACCAGUUUUGGGAAUGUCUAGAAUAAACUAGGAUUUAUGUUUUUGAAUAGUCUUCUUUGCCUGUGCCUCACUUCUCCCAUCCCCUUAUCACUUUGUUAUGGCUCCAGGUGCCCAGAGUUUGAAACUGUGCAAAGACACCACUGCACGACACACCACAUCACAUACUGCAUGGUAAUUAGCAAAUGCAAGUAACAAUUUCACUGUACUCUGUACAUGUUACAGUAAUGAUCACAUAAACCUAAAAUAUAAAAGUUACUGUAGUACAAAGCCAUCUAAUUUUUUCUUUUUAAACUAUUUCCGAGUUAACAUCAUACAUUGCUCCAACAAUCGUAAUCCUUUUAUUUUACUACUUGAAUAACUUAUGACCCACUAAUUGUGGUCCUUCACUGUACUUCUGAAGAACUGGUAUAGUUAUAUUUCUUUA